UACGUAGGCUGCGAGCGUUGUUCGGAAUUACUGGGCGUAAAGAGUGUGUAGGCGGUGCUCCCAGUCUGUUGUGAAAUCUCCCGGCUUAACUGGGAGGGUGCAGCGGAAACUAGAGUGCUAGAGGGUGGGAGAGGGGGGUGGAAUUCCGCGUGUAGCAGUGAAAUGCGUAGAGAUGCGGAGGAACACCGAUGGCGAAGGCAGCCCCCUGGGCUGACACUGACGCUCAGGCACGAAAGCGUGGGGAGCAAACAGG
This 253-nucleotide ribosomal RNA is filed under the name uncultured bacterium. RNAcentral describes it as "partial 16S ribosomal RNA". It matches the Rfam family "Bacterial small subunit ribosomal RNA", at positions 524 to 776 of the family's 1533-position model. The record is from RNAcentral.